This is a non-coding RNA of Arvicanthis niloticus (Nile rat), 128 nucleotides long. RefSeq annotates it as small Cajal body-specific RNA 4. Lineage: Eukaryota; Metazoa; Chordata; Mammalia; Rodentia; Muridae. The record is from RefSeq and is a predicted model, not a curated record.
GCUGGAGGAUCAAGAAGGCUGAGUCUGAUAAAGCCAGACUUUGCUGAUACACUCCUCCUAGAGGAAGGGGUGGAAAGAGCAGCCCUCACCAAAGAGAGCCACAGGGCUGAUUGUACUGCCCGACAUUU